This 253-nucleotide ribosomal RNA is filed under the name uncultured bacterium. RNAcentral's name for it is "partial 16S ribosomal RNA". It matches the Rfam family "Bacterial small subunit ribosomal RNA", at positions 524 to 776 of the family's 1533-position model. The record is from RNAcentral.
UACGUAGGGGGCAAGCGUUGUCCGGAAUCAUUGGGCGUAAAGCGCGUGUAGGCGGCUCGGUAAGUCUGCUGUGAAAGUCCAGGGCUCAACCCUGGAAAGCCGGUGGAAACUGUCGAGCUAGAGUCCGGAAGAGGCGAGUGGAAUUCCUGGUGUAGCGGUGAAAUGCGCAGAUAUCAGGAGGAACACCAAUGGCGAAGGCAGCGCGCUGGGACGGUACUGACGCUGAGACGCGAAAGCGUGGGGAGCAAACAGG